RNAcentral lists this ribosomal RNA (429 nucleotides) under Bacteroidota bacterium. Its description in RNAcentral is "Bacteroidetes bacterium partial 16S ribosomal RNA". It matches the Rfam family "Bacterial small subunit ribosomal RNA", at positions 355 to 776 of the family's 1533-position model. The record is from RNAcentral. Lineage: Bacteria; Pseudomonadati; Bacteroidota.
UAGGGAAUCUUCCGCAAUGGACGCAAGUCUGACGGAGCAACGCCGCGUGAGUGAAGAAGGAUUUCGGUUCGUAAAACUCUGUUGUUAGAGAAGAACAGCGCAUAGAGUAACUGUUAUGCGUGUGACGGUAUAUAACCAGAAAGCCACGGCUAACUACGUGCCAGCAGCCGCGGUAAUACGUAGGUGGCAAGCGUUGUCCGGAUUUAUUGGGCGUAAAGCGAGCGCAGGCGGUCAAUUAAGUCUGAUGUGAAAGCCCCCGGCUCAACCGGGGAGGGUCAUUGGAAACUGGUUGACUUGAGUGCAGAAGAGGAGAGUGGAAUUCCAUGUGUAGCGGUGAAAUGCGUAGAUAUAUGGAGGAACACCAGUGGCGAAAGCGGCUCUCUGGUCUGUAACUGACGCUGAGGCUCGAAAGCGUGGGGAGCGAACAGG